AGAGUUUGAUCAUGGCUCAGAUUGAACGCUGGCGGCAGGCCUAACACAUGCAAGUCGAACGGUAACAGGAAGCAGCUUGCUGCUUCGCUGACGAGUGGCGGACGGGUGAGUAAUGUCUGGGAAACUGCCUGAUGGAGGGGGAUAACUACUGGAAACGGUAGCUAAUACCGCAUAACGUCGCAAGACCAAAGAGGGGGACCUUCGGGCCUCUUGCCAUCGGAUGUGCCCAGAUGGGAUUAGCUUGUUGGUGGGGUAACGGCUCACCAAGGCGACGAUCCCUAGCUGGUCUGAGAGGAUGACCAGCCACACUGGAACUGAGACACGGUCCAGACUCCUACGGGAGCAGCAGUGGGGAAUAUUGCACAAUGGGCGCAAGCCUGAUGCAGCCAUGCCGCGUGUAUGAAGAAGGCCUUCGGGUUGUAAAGUACUUUCAGCGGGGAGGAAGGGAGUAAAGUUAAUACCUUUGCUCAUUGACGUUACCCGCAGAAGAAGCACCGGCUAACUCCGUGCCAGCAGCCGCGGUAAUACGGAGGGUGCAAGCGUUAAUCGGAAUUACUGGGCGUAAAGCGCACGCAGGCGGUUUGUUAAGUCAGAUGUGAAAUCCCCGGGCUCAACCUGGGAACUGCAUCUGAUACUGGCAAGCUUGAGUCUCGUAGAGGGGGGUAGAAUUCCAGGUGUAGCGGUGAAAUGCGUAGAGAUCUGGAGGAAUACCGGUGGCGAAGGCGGCCCCCUGGACGAAGACUGACGCUCAGGUGCGAAAGCGUGGGGAGCAAACAGGAUUAGAUACCCUGGUAGUCCACGCCGUAAACGAUGUCGACUUGGAGGUUGUGCCCUUGAGGCGUGGCUUCCGGAGCUAACGCGUUAAGUCGACCGCCUGGGGAGUACGGCCGCAAGGUUAAAACUCAAAUGAAUUGACGGGGGCCCGCACAAGCGGUGGAGCAUGUGGUUUAAUUCGAUGCAACGCGAAGAACCUUACCUGGUCUUGACAUCCACGGAAGUUUUCAGAGAUGAGAAUGUGCCUUCGGGAACCGUGAGACAGGUGCUGCAUGGCUGUCGUCAGCUCGUGUUGUGAAAUGUUGGGUUAAGUCCCGCAACGAGCGCAACCCUUAUCCUUUGUUGCCAGCGGUCCGGCCGGGAACUCAAAGGAGACUGCCAGUGAUAAACUGGAGGAAGGUGGGGAUGACGUCAAGUCAUCAUGGCCCUUACGACCAGGGCUACACACGUGCUACAAUGGCGCAUACAAAGAGAAGCGACCUCGCGAGAGCAAGCGGACCUCAUAAAGUGCGUCGUAGUCCGGAUUGGAGUCUGCAACUCGACUCCAUGAAGUCGGAAUCGCUAGUAAUCGUGGAUCAGAAUGCCACGGUGAAUACGUUCCCGGGCCUUGUACACACCGCCCGUCACACCAUGGGAGUGGGUUGCAAAAGAAGUAGGUAGCUUAACCUUCGGGAGGGCGCUUACCACUUUGUGAUUCAUGACUGGGGUGAAGUCGUAACAAGGUAACCGUAGGGGAACCUGCGGUUGGAUCACCU
RNAcentral lists this ribosomal RNA (1529 nucleotides) under Escherichia coli DEC8D. RNAcentral describes it as "bacterial SSU rRNA". It matches the Rfam family "Bacterial small subunit ribosomal RNA". Lineage: Bacteria; Pseudomonadati; Pseudomonadota; Gammaproteobacteria; Enterobacterales; Enterobacteriaceae. The record is from RNAcentral.